This 251-nucleotide ribosomal RNA is filed under the name uncultured bacterium. Its description in RNAcentral is "partial 16S ribosomal RNA". It matches the Rfam family "Bacterial small subunit ribosomal RNA", at positions 524 to 775 of the family's 1533-position model. The record is from RNAcentral.
UACGGAGGAUGCGAGCGUUAUCCGGAUUUAUUGGGUUUAAAGGGUGCGCAGGCGGUCUGUUAAGUCAGCGGUCAAAGCCCGGGGCUCAACCCCGGCCCGCCGUUGAAACUGGCAGUCUCGAGUUGGAGAGAAGUAUGCGGAAUGCGCGGUGUAGCGGUGAAAUGCAUAGAUAUCGCGCAGAACUCCGAUUGCGAAGGCAGCAUGCCGGCUCCACACUGACGCUGAGGCACGAAAGCGUGGGUAUCGAACAG